Molecule: ribosomal RNA, 253 nt
Filed under: uncultured bacterium
Lineage: Bacteria
Also listed under: 1 other name
Description: partial 16S ribosomal RNA
Rfam family: Bacterial small subunit ribosomal RNA
Source: RNAcentral
UACGAAGGGGGCGAGCGUUGUUCGGAUUUACUGGGCGUAAAGGGCGCGCAGGCGGCAGAUCAAGUCAGGCGUGAAAGCCCCGGGCUCAACCUGGGAACUGCGUUUGGGACUGGUUUGCUAGAGAUCGGGAGAGGAGAGUGGAAUUCCCAGUGUAGAGGUGAAAUUCGUAGAUAUUGGGAAGAACACCGGUGGCGAAGGCGGCUCUCUGGACCGAUACUGACGCUGAGGCGCGAAAGCGUGGGGAGCAAACAGG